UGGGGAAUAUUGGACAAUGGGCGAAAGCCUGAUCCAGCCAUGCCGCAUGAGUGAAGAAGGCCUUUGGGUUGUAAAGCUCUUUUAGUGAGGGAGAUAAUGACGGUACUCACAGAAGAAGUCCUGGCUAACUCCGUGCCAGCAGCCGCGGUAAUACGGAGAGGGCUAGCGUUAUUCGGAAUUAUUGGGCGUAAAGGGCGCGUAGGCUGGUUAAUAAGUUAAAAGUGAAAUCCCGAGGCUUAACCUUGGAAUUGCUUUUAAAACUAUUAAUCUAGAGAUUGAAAGAGGAUAGAGGAAUUCCUGAUGUAGAGGUAAAAUUCGUAAAUAUUAGGAGGAACACCAGUGGCGAAGGCGUCUAUCUGGUUCAAAUCUGACGCUGAGGCGCGAAGGCGUGGGGAGCAAACAGG
Molecule: ribosomal RNA, 404 nt
Filed under: uncultured Alphaproteobacteria bacterium
Lineage: Bacteria; Pseudomonadati; Pseudomonadota; Alphaproteobacteria
Description: bacterial SSU rRNA
Rfam family: Bacterial small subunit ribosomal RNA
Source: RNAcentral